Molecule: non-coding RNA, 71 nt
Organism: Streptomyces qinglanensis
Lineage: Bacteria; Bacillati; Actinomycetota; Actinomycetes; Kitasatosporales; Streptomycetaceae
Source: Rfam
ACCUGCGCAGACGCGGAGAAGCGCGUCGGCCUCCGGAGCCGUGUGCGCAGGUUCGAAUCCUGCCGGGGGUA